This 22-nucleotide microRNA is filed under the name Picea abies (Norway spruce). Its description in RNAcentral is "pab-miR949b". Its record names the gene pab-miR949b. The record is from miRBase by way of RNAcentral. Lineage: Eukaryota; Viridiplantae; Streptophyta; Pinopsida; Pinales; Pinaceae.
UCCCGGGAAUCCAAUGGGCCUU